CUCUCUCUCUCUCUCUCUCUCUCCCUCUCUCUUUCUCUCUUGCAAACCCAGGAUCCCCGAACCCAACGUCUGCCAUGGGCGGUCACCAACCCCCCCCGGUCGGUCGACCGCUGAUGGCCGCCACCAACCCCCUCUCAGCCAUCAACGUUCCCCGAACCCAUCGGUCGUCAUGGGCAGCGGCAGCCAACGCCCGCCCCUCCCCCCUGCUAGCCGUCACCAACCCCCCCUCAGUUCUCAAACUCAACAGCCCAUUUUGGUAAGAUAUCUUGUGAUUUUUGUUGUGUAUAUGUAUCUGUGUAUAUGUAUGUGUGUGUUGUGUGUGUGUAUGGGUGUGUGCGACGGCCGCGUUGUGUGUGUGUGUGUUCUGUGUGUGUAUAUGUAUCUAUGUAUAUGUAGCGGUUUCUGUUCAGAGAGCUGGGGAUUUGCAGAGGCUGUUGCCCCUCUUUGUAGAUGCCGAUCUGUCUUCUCAAAUCGAUCGGCUUCGUCUGAGAGUCGAUGUUUCAGUUCUCAAACUCAACAGCCCCUUUCGAUAAGAUAUCUUAUAAGUUGUCCAACCGAUUUGUUUUGUUUGAUUGCGGUUUCUGUUCGUAAGAACUGGUUUCCAAAUCGAAAAACAGAUCAGCCGUUGCUUUUCGUUCUGUCAAAUCUCCGUUGCUUUCGGUUCGGAAUCAUAAAACAAAUCGGUGAAUCGGAGAGUGACUGUCAAAUCGCCGAUCUUUCCCACUAUUUCUCGCCUCAAUCUCUGUAUUCUUUCCCACUAAUACUUAAAGAUGCAAAUAUUAGGUUGUAUUAGGUUGAUGGAGUGGAAGUGGAAGAAACCAUUGGAUUGAACAAAAUGUCGCAGAACAACUGGGAAGCCGACAAAAUGCUUGAUUUGAAAAAUGCCGCACUUGCAAGGUUGAGUGCUGUGCAUAGGAGCCUUAAGGUUGCCAAAUCAAGCGUGAAGAAGAAGAAAAGACAGGUAGGCUGCUAAGACCAACCGAGGUAGGAAGUGAACUUAAGAAGAUGUGAUUUUUGCAUGAUUUAUGGACGCGUGGAAUGUUUGAAUUUUCAUCUUUUUUGCUCUUUCGAAGCUAUUUUUCCUUUUGACUUGAGUAGAUCAAGUUUUGAAGUGGAAAUGAAAGAGAUGUGGUGUUUUUUGACAUGAUUUGAUUAUGAUUAUGAAAUAUAUAAGUUUUGUAGAUAUAUUGAUAUA
This is a long non-coding RNA of Diospyros lotus (date-plum), 1195 nucleotides long. RefSeq lists it as uncharacterized. The record is from RefSeq and is a predicted model, not a curated record. NCBI's taxonomy places the organism in Eukaryota, Viridiplantae, Streptophyta, Magnoliopsida, Ericales, Ebenaceae. The transcript has 2 exons.